RNA transcript from Pipra filicauda (Wire-tailed manakin), 3575 nucleotides. It is a transcript of the gene named RELT like 1, with no coding region annotated. Lineage: Eukaryota; Metazoa; Chordata; Aves; Passeriformes; Pipridae. The record is from RefSeq and is a predicted model, not a curated record. The transcript is spliced from 8 exons.
GCCGCGCCAGGCGGGGCGGCGGCAGCGACGCCGCUGCCAGCGCGGAGCAGCGCGGGCGAGGCGCCGGGAAUGGCUCCGGCAGUGACCGGCGGGGUUCCGCCGACUGCGCCAUCGUUGGGCUCCACGGCUGCCUGGCUGGGCGGCAGCUCCGCUCUCGAUGGAGAGGCUCCCCAGGUUUUGCCAAUCCAUGAUUUACAGACAACUACUUUGACAACUAAAACUGAUGGCAAUGAUGGCAAGACUGAACACCUAGAGUAUAUUGCCUUUGCUUUGGUUCCUGUUUUCUUCAUCAUGGGUCUUUUGGGGAUCCUUAUCUGCCAUGUCCUUAAGAAAAAAGGUUAUCGUUGUACAACGGAGGCUGAAGAAGUAGAAGAAGAAAAACUUGAUGAAAAAAUAGAAAUGAAUGAAACUAUACAUGAAAAUAGUGACACUGUGGGACAAAUAGUUAACUACAUCAUGAAAAAUGAAGCAAAUGCUGAUGUGUUAAAGGCCAUGGUAGCAGAUAGCAGUGUCUUUGAACCUGAAAGCCCUUUAUCUCCUACCUCUCCUGAGAGUCCAAUGAGUCCAGGGACUCCUUUGUCACCCGGUGCUGUUCCGUUCAAGCACAACUGCAAAGCCCAUCACUUCCAUACUGUUGGAGGAGUGGUAGAAAAGGAUGUUUGUACUCGUUGUAGUCACAAACGAUGGCACCUUAUAAAGCCAGCUCACAAAUCUAAAGAGAACAGAAGAAGUCGUAUUGGAGAAGUUACAGUCCUUUCUGUGGGAAGAUUUCGAGUCACAAAAGUGGAGCACAAAUCAAAUUCCAAAGAACGGAAGAGCUUGAUGUCUGUUACUGGCGUGGAGAGUGUCAAUGGUGAUAUGCCUGCCACGCCUGCGAAACAAGAAGUGAGCGAAGCACCUGCCACGCCAGUGAAACAGGAAAUGCAGGAGAGGAGAAACUCAGAGAGGAGAAGCUCAGAGUAAACUGCAGAUCAAUGGAGCUUUGACUAAUAACAAUGGAGACAUGAAACUGCCUGUAUCGCAGGGAUCUAACUGAGCCAGGUGGUUGGGGUUUUCUUGUGAGUCAUUAAAUUUCAGUGAAUUGCUCGAGGUGGAACUUUUAGAAGAAGCUUGUCUGUGAGCACUUUGGAGAAAACUGAAAACUCCCAGGAGGCGCAUACUAUUUAAGGAAAUGUAUUUAUGGCACUGCAGCAUUUUACAGGUUCUGUGAUGGCAUUCAUGCAAGGUUGAACACUUAAUGGGUUUUGACCAGUAAAAUCAGUCAGAUUUAGACACUUGAAUACUGUUGAGCUGUGUGGACAUCAUACCAAGUGCCUUUGUCUUGGAAAGAAAGCAUACAUACCGGUUUUUGGACAGGAAAGGUAAAAGCCUUAUGAAGUCUUUAAUUUUUUUUGUACUUAGACAAACAUUUCUAGUGAGCUCAAUAUUAAGAGGAAUACAAUGACCCCGUGGAUAAACUGUGUUCACCCCAGUGUUCCCUCUGGAUUUUUCUUCUUCUGUUCUACCCACUCCAGAAUUGACAAGUGUUUGCUGAGGAUAAAAGCCAGGCUUUGAAGGAUGAAAAUAUUCUUUUAAUCUAACUGCUAGGAGCCAAGUAAAACAUACAAGGAAAUAAUUAUGUCAGCCAAAUCUGCAUCUGUGCCUUUAGUACAUAAGCCCUCAAGCUCUGCGAAGGGUAUUUCACAGCAGAGUGGUUCAGCUAUAUGCAGAUGUUAAAUUAAAUUGUUGUUUUCCCCCACCCCUUACCUUCCCCUUACUACUUAAUAUAGGCCGAAGAGCAUAUUUUCCUGUGCAGUUAGAUGAGCUCUUGGGAAGAUUACUUUCUUCAAGGCCUUUUGUUCUCCCAUUUUCUUGUAACUACUCACUUGUAUUUGAAGAAUACCUAAUAGUUUUGCUUUUUUUUGGUUGUUGUUUUUACCCACAGGUUCCUUAUUAAGCUAAGGCAGCAUAUUUCAACCCUUAGAUAAGGAUAUGGAAUAUUUGGCAUUAAAAAUUUAUGGCGUAUAUACUAAAUUGCUUCAGAGUGACUUUAUUGGGCUGAGGGUAGCUGUUUUCAUUGGCACCAAAAUCUUAAGCCAGUGUCACUCCCUUCAUAUUUUAAGUGUGACUUGCUACUAAAAAUACCAUGGUAUUUUGAUGUUAAUUCUUUGUAUCUACUUAUGAUCUCUGCUUUGUCCUAUUACUUGUUUUGGGGAGAGAAAUCUCUAUAAUACUUAGCAAACUUUUCUAUGUAAUAGAAACUGAAAAAUAACAUUUGUUCUGAGUGCCUAAGAAUGUAAGCUCUAAUGUAAUGCAUUUUAGUAGAGAUUGCACUAUAUUCUGAGAACUGUAACUUAAUCUGCUUUAUGAACUCAAUGAAAAUCAGCGAAUGUUUUUGAAAUUGAUUUAUUUUAAAUUAAUACCUUCAAUCUUUUUAAUCCAAGUGCUCUACACUGUUUCUCCUUCAUAUCUGAGAAUUGUGUUCUUCAUCAAUUCAUACAGUGUUAACAGUCAGUGUGUACAAAAUUAAUCUUGCUUGUGUAUUAGAUACUCUUGUGUCCUGUCAGGAAACAUUAAGUUUUUCACUCUUGGUGAAAGCAUGUGCUGCUGAUGGUCUUCCUUUUACUUGUAUCCCCAAGAUAUUGAUCGGGCCUAUUCAGUGAUGUUAUAUUUGCCAAAAAACCACACCACUGCCCACCAAAACUUUGAAAAUAAUGUGUGUUUGUGUGUUUUGUUUUUGUUUUUUAAAUUGAUGUUUUUAGAGAUAAUCGUCUGUCCUUGAGAACCCAAAAUAAUCGUUUGGCUAGGACCGGAACCUGAGUGUUCAGUAUCCCUGCUCCCCUUAAUUUAAACUUGGCUUAUGAAAUCUCUUCAGUAUUUAAGUACAACAUAAACACCAAGCUCACCUUAUAGGCAUACGUUAAGCUUCACUUGAUUAUUAGUGUGAAGAACUAAUAUUUCUAGAAGAUGUAAUUAGUAUUGAUUAUAGUAGUUAGCUUUCAGUUUCCAAGAGAUUGAUAGCUAUGAGUAUAAAAUGUUGCUGGGAAAAGGGAAUAUUGGGCAAAACCAAGCAGUUUCAAAUAAUUUUCAGAAAGGAAUUACACAAUUACAGACUGUUCCAAAAACUUUUUUUAAAAAAAGGGUGAUUUAUUUUGAUACUAUAUUUUGAUACAUGAUGGGUUAGUACUGCAAAUAAAUUUGUCAAAAGGAUGGAACAAAGUUUAAGUAGAAAUAUGUAUUUUUUUACUUAUUAUAAAAUAGUUUCUAUUUUGAUUCCAUUGAAAAUAUGUAGAAUAAAGGGAAUGGAAAGAUGUUGGAUAUGUAAAAUGUUUACCUGUAUAAAAUGGUUAACUAAGGUAUUAUCAGGUCUGAUAUGUUCAAGAAUUGAAUUUAUGCAUUGCUUCUUGAGUAAGAGAGGAUUUAGAAACUGUGCCUGUUUCACUGCCUUUAACACUACACUGCUAUUUUAUAGGGGUAUGGAUAUUGCUAUAUUAGUUUGCCUUUCUUAAAUUUGCAUAUCAAAUGUAUUUUAACAAAAUAGUUUAUAUACAACUUUUAUACUACCAAGCAGUAAAUAAAAAAAUAUUGAUUCUUAA